CGGGUGAGUAACGCGUGAGGAACCUGCCUCAAAGAGGGGGACAACAGUUGGAAACGACUGCUAAUACCGCAUAAGCCCACGGCUCGGCAUCGAGCAGAGGGAAAAGGAGCAAUCCGCUUUGAGAUGGCCUCGCGUCCGAUUAGCUAGUUGGUGAGGUAACGGCCCACCAAGGCGACGAUCGGUAGCCGGACUGGGAGGCUGAACGGCCACAUUGGGACUGAGACACGGCCCAG
This 233-nucleotide ribosomal RNA is filed under the name uncultured bacterium. RNAcentral's name for it is "partial 16S ribosomal RNA". It matches the Rfam family "Bacterial small subunit ribosomal RNA", at positions 103 to 334 of the family's 1533-position model. The record is from RNAcentral.